This 253-nucleotide ribosomal RNA is filed under the name uncultured bacterium. RNAcentral describes it as "partial 16S ribosomal RNA". It matches the Rfam family "Archaeal small subunit ribosomal RNA", at positions 474 to 727 of the family's 1478-position model. The record is from RNAcentral.
UACCAGCACCCCGAGCGCUCGGCACGAUUAUUGGGCCUAAAGCAUCCGUAGCCGGUUCUACAAGUCUUCCGUUAAAUCCACCUGCUUAACAGAUGGGCUGCGGAGGAUACUAUGGAGCUAGGAGGCGGGAGAGGCAAGCGGUACUCAGUGGGUAGGGGUAAAAUCCGUUGAUCCAUUGAAGACCACCAGUGGCGAAGGCGGCUUGCCAGAAUGCGCUCGACGGUGAGGGAUGAAAGCUGGGGGAGCAAACCGG